AGCGAACGUUAGCGGCAGGCCUAACACAUGCAAGUCGCACGAGAAUCCGGCUUCGGCCGGUAGUAAAGUGGCGGACGGGUGAGUAACACGUGGAUAAUCUGCCCUUCGGCGGGGGACAACAGUCCGAAAGGAUUGCUAAUACCGCGUAAGUCGGCGAGGUCUUCGGAUCUUGUCGGGAAAGAUGGCCUCUUCAUGAAAGCUAUCGCCGAAGGAUGAGUCCGCGUCCCAUCAGCAGUUGGCGGGGUAAUGGCCCACCAAGGCUUAGACGGGUAGCUGGUCUGAGAGGAUGAUCAGCCACACUGGAACUGAGACACGGUCCAGACUCCUACGGGAGGCAGCAGUGGGGAAUAUUGGGCAAUGGGCGCAAGCCUGACCCAGCCAUGCCGCGUGAGUGAAGAAGGCCU
This 404-nucleotide ribosomal RNA is filed under the name uncultured bacterium. RNAcentral describes it as "bacterial SSU rRNA". It matches the Rfam family "Bacterial small subunit ribosomal RNA", at positions 29 to 417 of the family's 1533-position model. The record is from RNAcentral.